ACGAACGCUGGCGGCGUGCCUAAUACAUGCAAGUAGAACGCUGAGGAUUGGUGCUUGCACUAAUCCAAAGAGUUGCGAACGGGUGAGUAACGCGUAGGUAACCUACCUCAUAGCGGGGGAUAACUAUUGGAAACGAUAGCUAAUACCGCAUGAUACUAGAGUACACAUGUACUUAAGUUAAAAGGAGCAAAUGCUUCACUAUGAGAUGGACCUGCGUUGUAUUAGCUAGUUGGUGAGGUAACGGCUCACCAAGGCGACGAUACAUAGCCGACCUGAGAGGGUGAUCGGCCACACUGGGACUGAGACACGGCCCAGACUCCUACGGGAGGCAGCAGUAGGGAAUCUUCGGCAAUGGACGGAAGUCUGACCGAGCAACGCCGCGUGAGUGAAGAAGGUUUUCGGAUCGUAAAGCUCUGUUGUUAGAGAAGAACGGUAAUGGGAGUGGAAAAUCCAUUACGUGACGGUAACUAACCAGAAAGGGACGGCUAACUACGUGC
Molecule: ribosomal RNA, 497 nt
Filed under: Streptococcus iniae
Lineage: Bacteria; Bacillati; Bacillota; Bacilli; Lactobacillales; Streptococcaceae
Description: bacterial SSU rRNA
Rfam family: Bacterial small subunit ribosomal RNA
Source: RNAcentral